GGUUGACCUCGGAUCAGGUAGGGAUACCCGCUGAACUUAAGCAUAUCAAUAAGCGGAGGAAAAGAAACCAACAGGGAUUGCCCCAGUAACGGCGAGUGAAGCGGCAAGAGCUCAAAUUUGAAAGCUGGCUCCUUCGGGGUCCGCAUUGUAAUUUGUAGAGGAUGCUUUCGGGAGCGUCCCCAUCUAAG
RNAcentral lists this ribosomal RNA (188 nucleotides) under Penicillium roqueforti. Its description in RNAcentral is "partial 28S ribosomal RNA". It matches the Rfam family "Eukaryotic large subunit ribosomal RNA", at positions 1 to 185 of the family's 3401-position model. Lineage: Eukaryota; Fungi; Ascomycota; Eurotiomycetes; Eurotiales; Aspergillaceae. The record is from RNAcentral.